CGAGGGUGAACAAAUAAGAACUGCUAACUCUUAUCUCCUAAGUCUAAAACCUUAGCUCUCU
This 61-nucleotide transfer RNA is filed under the name Lissemys punctata vittata. RNAcentral's name for it is "transfer RNA-Ser". Lineage: Eukaryota; Metazoa; Chordata; Testudines; Trionychidae. The record is from RNAcentral.